Sorex araneus (European shrew) is the source of this 1096-nucleotide long non-coding RNA. RefSeq lists it as uncharacterized. The transcript has 3 exons. Lineage: Eukaryota; Metazoa; Chordata; Mammalia; Eulipotyphla; Soricidae. The record is from RefSeq and is a predicted model, not a curated record.
UAGGAAAUUGGACCAGACUGGAGGAGAGAUGCUGCUGCGAGUAGGAAGAGAAGAAUGCGCGGAACUUGGAUCACCAGGAGUGGAGCAAUAGCACAGCAGGGAUACUGUGGUCUCGAGGGAACAGAGAUAUGCAACCCACAAUUCAAAAGCAACAAGACACCGGUUUCAUAAAGAUGAAGCAUAAGCCUGCAGGAGAAUGCUAAGGCAGCAAUUACAAAGAAGACUAAACCAGUGGUAAAAUCUGCAGGAAGAUUCAGAAGAGAUAACCUGGGGGCUGCAAAUGGAGAGGAGAAAGGUGAAUAGCACAUAGUCUUGGACUUCGGAAAGUGACCAGUCUGAGGACUAGGACAGAACAGAUGACCAAAGCCUGAUAAGAGAAGGACACUGCUGAAGCAUGACCGUUCCUGGAGGAAAACAGCUCUAGCCAACCGGUGGGUAAGGAGUUACCUUCUCUGGUUACCAUGGAUACAGAAUAGCACGAUUUUUCAAUACUAUGUGCCAAAUUCUGUGUCUGUUCUAUAUACAUGAUCUUCAGAAAGAGCAAGAUACUAACAAUUGUCCUUAAGCUGUCUCUUCGCUGAAAAAAACAAAAACAACAAAAACUGGUCUACCCCCAAUUCUCUUCUAAUUAGCUGCAUGGUGGCUCAUUUGGAGCACAUUCAUUUCUGUUUGACUGAGCAACAGUACUUAUACCAUUGGAAAUUUCCCCCCUUGGCUAUAAUUAUCCCCAAACACAUAAUGACAUUAAUAGAAAAGAGAUAGAGAGAGAGACAUUAAAGAUAACCUUUUACAAAGGUACACUCUCAGACAGCUAAUUACAGAGCCUAAUUUAUAUUAAUCCCAUUAUGAAUGAAUUUAGCUCUUACUUAACAAGAUUUUAAGAAAACAUUAACAUCUAGAUCAAACUCGGUCCCCACUUUUGUGCUGUACGUCACAGCCCAGCUGAAUAUUAACCACUAACGAGUCUGAGGUCACCUGGAACAGCCUUUCCAAUCAGUGUACUGAGACAUUUCAUGCUAAUGCUCCUUCCCAGGACCUAGUUAGAAUGAAAAAUGAAAACAUUUUUUUCUUUCAAUUUUUGUUGAGGCACUGUGAU